Molecule: long non-coding RNA, 477 nt
Filed under: Pan troglodytes (chimpanzee)
Lineage: Eukaryota; Metazoa; Chordata; Mammalia; Primates; Hominidae
Description: long non-coding RNA NONPTRT011247
Source: RNAcentral
CGCAGUUACAAAAACCACCGCUAUUUAUAGGGCAUAUGCUCUUAGGUGUUACUAGGUAAUAUUAGGUAUUAUUCCACCACCACUGGAUAGAUCUUAAUUAUUGCCAAGUAUACAAUAAUAAAAUUGCUGCCAAAUGUUAUCCUUUUGUCUGAAGCUAAUGGAUGUGCCUCCACUUCGUCUACUCUCAGCAGCUGUGACCAUCAUCUAAAUGAAUAUAAGAAUUGAAUUAACGUGCAACUGAAGAAACUAUCCCUGUGUUAGUUGGGACCCACAGAAAAUAGAAGGCAUGCUCUGAUGGGGUUUCUGAAGAGACUGUAAUGAAAGAAAUUUUUGCAGAGGCUUGGGUGUGAUCAAGGAAACCUACAGGCAAAGCUGAGGAUUCCAAGGAUAGUACCAGAGCAAGUCAUUACCACCCUGAGAGCUGAGCCCGACAGAGUGAGGGAAGAUGCAUGUCAUUGGAUCCUGGGAGAGCUGAAA